This 124-nucleotide non-coding RNA is filed under the name Aurantiochytrium limacinum. The record is from RNAcentral. Lineage: Eukaryota; Bigyra; Thraustochytrida; Thraustochytriidae.
AAACUAGUCAACUCGAUUGUUAUUGUCUUGCUUUUCUUCUUUCCUUUCCUUUUAUUUUUUUUUCGAGUAAAGUAUUUCUUUCUUUAUCUUUUUUAUGGGAGCGCAGGAAAAGCUGAGAAGGAGA